RNAcentral lists this transfer RNA (89 nucleotides) under Nostoc punctiforme FACHB-252. Its description in RNAcentral is "tRNA-Ser". It matches the Rfam family "tRNA". From Rfam's summary of the family: Transfer RNA (tRNA) molecules are approximately 80 nucleotides in length. Their secondary structure includes four short double-helical elements and three loops (D, anti-codon, and T loops). Further hydrogen bonds mediate the characteristic L-shaped molecular structure. tRNAs have two regions of fundamental functional importance: the anti-codon, which is responsible for specific mRNA codon recognition, and the 3' end, to which the tRNAs corresponding amino acid is attached (by aminoacyl-tRNA synthetases). tRNAs cope with the degeneracy of the genetic code in two manners: having more than one tRNA (with a specific anti-codon) for a particular amino acid; and 'wobble' base-pairing, i.e. permitting non-standard base-pairing at the 3rd anti-codon position. Lineage: Bacteria; Bacillati; Cyanobacteriota; Cyanophyceae; Nostocales; Nostocaceae. The record is from RNAcentral.
GGAGAGAUGGCCGAGUGGUUUAAGGCGCAGCACUGGAAAUGCUGAUUCUCAUGAAAAUGGGAACUAGGGUUCAAAUCCCUAUCUCUCCG